UUUUAUUUUGUUUGUGGUUUUAUGACAAUGUGCGGGUUUAAAAAUGAUAUUAUUUAAACGCUUAGUUUAGUCAUUCUUGACAAAAUGUGUGUUGGAGAUCAUAGUGUUUCCUAACGAGCGGGUUUUUUAAUAUAGAGUGAUACAAUACACGUGCUCGACCUUUUGCUGUCUCCUGUUACUGAAUUGUGAAUGUCAUUUGAUAUGUAAGUGUG
Molecule: long non-coding RNA, 212 nt
Organism: Ctenocephalides felis (cat flea)
Lineage: Eukaryota; Metazoa; Arthropoda; Insecta; Siphonaptera; Pulicidae
Exons: 3
Source: RefSeq, a predicted model, not a curated record